RNAcentral lists this unclassified non-coding RNA (240 nucleotides) under soil metagenome. RNAcentral describes it as "partial contains 5.8S ribosomal RNA, internal transcribed spacer 2, and large subunit ribosomal RNA". The record is from RNAcentral.
AACAUCGCGCACCUGCGGGAACCUGCGGAAGGAUCAUUAUAGAAUCGAAAUAAAAACGUGAGAGAUGUUCAGCCCGAUUAUGGUCCUGCUCCGUUUCUCACAAAACCGCGCAAAACGGUUUUAUCCUUGUUUAUGAGCACUCCUGUUUCCUCGGCGGGUUCGCCCGCCGAUGGACCCACUGUUCAACGCUUAGGAUGCAAUCAGUGUUGUCUGAGCUAUAUAUGCAAAAACAUCAAAACU